AUGAAGCUUUUGAUUUGCCAAAUCUGUAACGGCUUCACAAAGGUGCCUUCCAUAGGAGCUACAGCAGCUCAUAGCUCGUGCACUGUGAGCCUUGUCCUUGGAGCAGGAGCAGGCACAACAGAGAGCUGUUUCCAUCUCCCUGGCGAAGGACCCUUGGUCUUGGAUGCACAUCCGUGGUCUCCUGGCUGUCAGACCCAUCCGUCAGGAUGGCACGGAGCCCAUCCUCAGCCUUGUUACGUGUGCUCACUGCAACGCAGGUACUCAGCAGCCGUGGGCUUAGGGCAGGCACUCCACAGCGUGGCAAAUAGCGCCCAGCAUACAGGAAACAACACCUCUGGGCUGUUUGUAGCUCUCUAUGUUUAUUUCGGGUAUAUGUGUUAUGUAGAUAGAUGUCAUGGGAUCUGUGGAUAGAAAAACGUGAGUCAAAAUAUUUGUAUUUGGAAGCAGGAAAUUAGACUACUAAGUCUGUAUGUCUGUAUAUAUAUAUAUAUGUACAUAUACAUACAUGUGUCCAUGUGUAUGCUCUGUUUUUCAAAGAGGAGGAUACACUGCAGUUCCCUGUACAGAAACAGAUAUUCAUUCAGAACAUCUGAAAAUCAAACCGCUUGAAAAUAUGGACUGGACAGACACCUGGCACAGUGUUCAUUUAGCAAGUAGCCCUCUUUUAGACUCCUGUUUCUGUAAAUCUUGGUUAUUUAUGAUACCACCCAGGAUAAGACCAUGGCAUCUUGAAGUGAAACGCUGAAGGGACAAGCUCAGCCUCUUGGACGCACAACUGGGGCAAGGCAUGGAGGUGUACAGAGGAGAUGACGUUCGCUUGCAGCUCUUUGGCUGCAUUGCCUCUAGAUCACCGCUCCACAAGUGUGCAGGCAGAUUCAUGUUAUCUUUUUCAGAUAAUGGACUGCGGACCUCCAGCAAACUUUCUCUUCAGAGCUUUGUGUGCAACACCGCUCUCUGUGCGCUCUCGGUGUGAGGUCUCCUGACUUCUCGCUCUGUGUGAGGGUGGCUUAACAGUCACUGAAAAUGUGGGCUCAGUGAUUAGCGUGCUGGCAGCAGAGCGGCAGGAGGUCUUGCUUACAUCCACAGGGCCAAACAAAGGUCUCUUUGUAGGGCCCGCUGCUGUGGGAGUGCGGCAGCUUAAGAAUACACAGUUUGUCAUCAGCAAUUAUCCGGGUGUCAUAACUGAGGAUCUGCCACAACACCUACAGUUCCGACACACAGCGUGCCUCUGUUGUGUAGUUCAUUCUCAUUGACUUAUUUUUGUAUUAAGUGUCCUUUGCAACAAUCUGGCUAAUUAAGAGGCUCCAUACACCACUAUGUAUAACGGAUAUACUGAGUCCCUAAGCACUAUUAAAUGCCGGAAGGACGUAAAAGAGCAAUAGAGCAAAUGCAAACCAAUCACAUAUAUCCUUCUGUGUAUUUAUGGUUAUACCUGUAGAGAAAUGUGUGAAUUCCCUAUUGUUUUAAGGAGUCCUUUCUGAAGCACAGAGAAGCUCAUUUAUAGCCUCUCAGCUCUUCACAGACUACUUUUGAAUAGGGAGCUGUGAACGGUCACUGGUACUAUUUUUAAUUUUUCCUCUUUUUCAACAGUCAUUUAAAAGAAGAGGUUUAUUCAUUUAUUCAGUUAAAUUCACCAGGGAUAGAUGCACUGGAGAAGGGACUGAAAGCUCCAAUUCACUUUAAUUUGUCUGUUUGCUUACACUCUCUAUCGGAAUGCAGUAGCAAACAGCCAGAAGUUUUUUAUUCAUGAACAUACUCUUUGAACAAGGACAUUUGAAAAUAGACAUUUAGUUCUGUAACCAUGAAUGUAAGUUUUGGUUCCAGUAAGAGAGAGGCAAUGAACUGUGUCAUAGAUGUCCCGCAGAAUUAAGCUCUUUGCGGGCCUUGGUGUGGCAAAAAGUGGAAAUGUAAAAUCCUGUAGCCCACACCGUUGAAGCAUUGACUCGUCUUUGACACAGCCACCGGGGCUCUGCUCAGAGCCUGCUGGUGAACUGAACUGUCCUGAUGGGCCCAGGGUUAGGCAAGUGCUAAAUCUCAGUGAACUCAUUCAGGGCUCGUGCUUAAAUGUCAAGUUGAUUCGUGUCGUGAGAGUGCUAGCAAUCCAAAGAAACAAACUAGAAAAAAAAAUAAUAAAAUCAAACAAACAAUCA
Molecule: long non-coding RNA, 2150 nt
Filed under: Anser brachyrhynchus (Pink-footed goose)
Lineage: Eukaryota; Metazoa; Chordata; Aves; Anseriformes; Anatidae
Description: lncRNA (ENSABRG00000005655.1)
Source: RNAcentral